AACGACUGCAGGCAUACCUGGACAGGUUGGAUAAGUGGGCAGAACACAAUAGGAUGCAUUCAACAAGUACAAGUGCAAGGUUCUGCACCUAGGGAG
Gavialis gangeticus (Gharial) is the source of this 96-nucleotide long non-coding RNA. RefSeq lists it as uncharacterized. The record is from RefSeq and is a predicted model, not a curated record. Lineage: Eukaryota; Metazoa; Chordata; Crocodylia; Gavialidae. The transcript is spliced from 2 exons.